Non-coding RNA from Pelobates cultripes (western spadefoot toad), 299 nucleotides. The record is from the annotation of a GenBank genome assembly. NCBI's taxonomy places the organism in Eukaryota, Metazoa, Chordata, Amphibia, Anura, Pelobatidae.
UGGUGUGAUCCAUGAAUGGUUCAUUUUAAUAAACGUGAGCUUGUCCACGUUGGCCGUGGACAGGCGGCUGCGCUGCUCUGUGAUAACCUCGUGCCAAUCGCACGUCCCCUUGACAGCGACAACACAUUCGGAUGUCUGCUCUAUCGACUUUCGAUGCUAUUUUCUGCGCCUACCAUGGUGACCACGGGUAACUGGGAAUCAGAGUUCGAUUCCAGAGAGGGAGCCUGAUAAACGGCUACCAUAUGCAAGGAAUGCAGCAGGCACGCAAACUACCCACUCCCGACGCGGGUUGGUAGUGA